This 4541-nucleotide long non-coding RNA is filed under the name Nicotiana tabacum (common tobacco). Its description in RNAcentral is "long non-coding RNA (NTAB_LNC009630)". The record is from RNAcentral. Lineage: Eukaryota; Viridiplantae; Streptophyta; Magnoliopsida; Solanales; Solanaceae.
GACUAGCACUUUUGAAGUAGUUUCAUAUAUGUAAAUUUUAUUUCAAAAAAAUUGAAGAAUUUAUGCCCGAGCUCACACAAAAAAUUAAGUGCUAUGAUCGUUAACCCCAACAUGUUUAAUUAUUUGCUUCUUUUGCACACAGGGGGAGCAUUUGCGUUGUAUUCCUUAAUAUGUCGACAUGCAAAAGUGAGUCUCAUCCCAAACCAGGAGCCAGAGGAUAGAGAGCUUUCCCGCUACGGUCUGGACAUACCAUCAAAUCAAUUUAGAAGGGCUCAGAAUAUCAAACAUAAGUUGGAAAACACUAAAUUUGCAAGAUUGUUUCUUGUCUUCCUUGCGAUCCUUGGAACAUCGAUGGUCAUUGGCGAUGGAAUUAUCACUCCUUCCAUCUCAGGUCUCUAAAUAUCAAUAUACACUCUCUAUCCCAUCCCUUGAUCAUCAUAUCAAACUAGUACUGCCGAAAUUAGCUCAUAAAGAUAUAAACUGUCCAACCUGCUGAGUAUAUUUAAAUGACGAGUCAAUUUGGGCACAUCCCAAGUCAGCGCAUCUAAAGGUUGGGCUGGUCUUGAGGUAUAAAUAUGUAACCCAAAUUGAGCCAUAAUAUCACUUAUCAAAAGACUUCUAAAUUUUUUUUAAUUAGAUAUGUAAGAUAUAGUCAUACUCCCUCAGUUCUAUAUACACUACUAACAACAACAACGACCUAGUAAAAUCCCACAAUUGGGGUCUGGGCAGAGCAGUGUGUACGCACACCUUACCCAUUAUACACUAACAAUAAAAGAAUUUUUGUACUAUCAAGUCACCCAAAAGAAAACUAUAAGUAAUUGUCAAUAAUAAGUAGUACAAAUAAAAAAGACGGAAAACCUGCUACAACAGAAAAAAUAACACAAAUAAUAAUUAUAUAAGAUAAAUCAUUAUUUAAUCUGGUGUGUUUCAUGUGCAGUUCUCUCUGCCGUAAGUGGGAUCAAGCCUCUAGGCCAAGGUAUAGAAAUUAAAAGGAUGCUAAUGAAUUCUUCUUUUUCUCUUAUUCAAUUUCAAUGAUCAAACAACUGAAAAAAAUGGAUAAUGAUCCUUGCAGAAGCGAUUGUGGGUGUUUCCGUUGCAAUACUGGUAGCCCUCUUCUGUUUUCAACGUUUUGGUACAGACAAAGUGGGAUACUCAUUUGCUCCAGCCAUAUGCAUUUGGUUUUGUUUAAUAAGUGGUACCGGUAUGUACAACUUGUUCAAGCAUGAUGUGAGUGUCUUACGUGCCUUUAAUCCCAAAUACAUUUUUAACUACUUCAAAAGAAAUGGUAAAAAAGGAUGGCUUUCUCUUGGUGGAGUUAUCCUCUGCAUUACAGGUUAGAAUUUUAUUUACAGUAUCCGUAUAAUUAAACGGUUAUACCAUGCUACUUCACGUCUGUGUUCUUAUCUGGUGAAAGACUAUUUUAUGAAACUAUUACAGGAUCCGAAGCUAUGUUUGCUGAUUUGGGUCACUUUAGUGUGCGGUCUGUUCAAGUAAGUCUUCUGCAUUUUUUAUUUUCUUCUUUGCCCUAAGUAAUCAAAAAGAUGUACUUCCUCUUCCCUUUUUAUGUGGCACACUUUUCGUUUUAAAUUGUCCUUUAUUAUAUUUGAUAUUUGUUUCUAGUUUUUGGUCAAUCUAAGUGAACUCACCAUGUAUAUAUAUUGCAGAUAAGCUUCAGUUGCUUAGUAUUUCCAUCUAUCCUCUCUGCUUAUAUUGGGCAAGCUGCUUACCUUACAAAAUUCCCAGAAAAUGUGGGGAAUGCUUUUUAUGCCUCUGUUCCAGGCAAGUCUCCUAUAUAUAUGUGGCAAAUUUGUUAACUUUUUCCAUAUUCGUUAUAUAGAUAUUGAGGCCUUUUGGGUUAAAGCCCAAUGGGAAAACACUGUGAGGCACCAAAGAUCGGACCAAAGUGGACAAUAUUUUGGCAGUUGAGCCUGGGUCGUGAAAGAUAAACUAAUCAUAAAAUUAUUUACUUUAUAAAUACCAUGCAUAAUAUUGAUUUUGUUGGUGUUGCUUACAGAUCCACUUUACUGGCCAACAUUUGUAGUGGCUGUUGUUGCGGCCAUUAUUGCAAGUCAAGCAAUGAUAUCUGGAGCUUUUUCUAUUGUGGCUCAGGCCCAAAGUCUAGGUUGUUUCCCAAGGGUGAAGGUAAUUCACACAUCUGCAAAGCACGAGGGUCAGGUUUACAUUCCCGAGUUGAAUUACUUCCUCAUGGUUGCAUGUGUUGUAGUUACUCUCAGCUUCAAAACCACAGGAAAUUUGGGGAAUGCUUAUGGAAUUUGUGUGGUUAGUGCUGAGCUCAUAACCACAAAUAUGGUGACAUUAGUAAUGCUUCUUAUAUGGAAAAUUAGCAUAUGGCGGAUUAUCUUAUUCUACGUGGUGUACGUUACCAUAGAAUCUACAUAUCUAUCCGCUCAGCUGACAAAGUUCGUGCAAGGUGGUUUUCUACCUUUGGCUUUCUCAUUUGUGCUCGUGAUCAUUAUGGGGAUUUGGCACUAUGUUCAAAAACAUAGAUAUGAAUUCGAGCUCAAGAACAAGGUUUCAAGUGACUACAUUACGGACUUAGCCAAAAAUCCAGACAUCAAAAGAGUACCUGGAAUAGGACUACUCUACUCUGAAUUAGUACAGGGGAUUCCACCAAUAUUUCCCCACUUUGUCUCCAAUAUUCCGUCGGUCCAUUCUAUUAUAGUUCUGGUGUCAAUUAAAUCCAUUCCUAUAAACAAAGUAGCGCUGGAGGAACGGUUCUUGUUCAGACAUGUUCAGCCUAGAGAAUACAAGGUGUUCCGAUGUGUAGUUAGGUUAGGGUACAAUGAUCAACUUGGGAAACCAGAGGAAUUUGAAAACCAAUUGGUGGAACAUUUGAAAGAGUUCAUUCGAGAUGAAUACUAUAUUCUUGCAGCACAUGCUGAUCAAGUUGCAGAUAGAGAAAUUGAACCUGCAGUAUCUGGCCAACUAGUGGCUGGAAAUUCAUCCCGGGUCUACACGGAGGAAGAGCUGGAGCAACAAGUAGAUUCUAGAGUUUCAUCAGCUGGUUCGAUUCGAUCAAUGAACACUUCAGCAGCUCAGUCGAAUCAUUCAUCAAAUAGAAUACAAAUGGUCCCACCAAGUUUGGAAGAAGUAGAAGUGAUGCAGUUUGUGGAAAAAGCAAAGGAGCAAGGAGUGUUCUAUCUCCUGGGAGAAGCAGAGGUGGUCACUAAACAAGAUUCUUCAUUCUUGAAGAAAUUUGUUGUCAACUAUGCCUAUAAUUUCUUGCGCAAGAACUUCAGGCAAGGGGAGAAAGUUAUGGCCAUUCCCAGGACUAGGCUGCUAAGGGUCGGCAUGACUUAUGAAUUAUAAUUGUGACGUAUCAGACAGUAAUAAACUUACUACCAAAUACUCUCAUAACAAACAAACAGAGCAAAAGAUCUCUGCAUUUUUCCUAAAACUUUAUUUUUAUCCUUUAAUACUGUGUGCAAGCUUUCAAUUUGAGUUAAUGUACUAUUAAAACCUGUUUGGAAAUGUUUACUCCCUCUAUCCUCUCUAUCCCAUGUUCUAACUUUGUUUGCCCCUAUUAAUAUUGAUGACUUUCUACUAUUAAAAAACACUCCUUAAAUAGCUCUAAUUUGGAAGAAGUCUAGUCUAGUACUUCGGUAUGACCUUCCUAUAUGUAUGUAAUAAGUAUAAUUUCAACAGAUUAAUGAGUAAACGUAGAAAUUCACGCUGAAAACAUAUAUUGACCAAGGUGUUUCGACCUUGAAGUAGAAUGAGAAACAAGAAAAGGAACAAAAUUAGUCUGAUCAGCUUCUCUUCCCGAUAGAGCCUUAUCCCCACCAAUAAGAUUUGAUCAGCAUAUAUAACACUAAAUUUGUAUCUGUCCUGAACCAUUUACAUUCAGCAGAGCAAACAUUGGACUAAAAUCUUGGAGAGUUCAUGCUAAUAGCAUGAAGCACAAUACUACAAUAUUGCAUUUCAUUUUCAAAAAAUAUUUUCUGAACCAUAGAAAACUAGAAGAACAUCAGUAACAAGGUAAUACCUGGAUUUUUGAGCUGUCAAAUAUAAAACCAUUUAGGGCAUAUGUUUUGCCACUGAAAAGUACACAAAAGCAAAUUGACCAUGAGUCCAUGAUUUACCAAACGAACUACACAGAUCUGAACAGAAAAAGAAAGCAUACGAAAGAGAGCAUUAGCAAGUCAAAAUUAACUCCGAAAGAAGCACUUCAUGAAACAUCCCAAAAUAUACUCCAAUUGAUUUAUUACACUUAUUAUCAGGACAAUCAACACAUAGUUCCUUAAUUCCCUAUUACAUUUCAUGAUUACAACAAAUAAAAAAAAAAUUUAAAAAAAGUAGCAUUGUGUAAAGGAAUCAGUACAAAGUUCACCUACAAAAUAAAGAGAAGAAAGCAAACAAUCUCUAACGAGCAAAGUCACAGAGACUUACCGGUAGAACGACGGUUGCGAAAGGAAGGAGAAGCGGAGAGGCAAGUCUAGCCUCUUUCCAGUCACUGAUCAGCAUGGGCGAAGUAGCCGUCGAUCGAGAGAAAAAAUGACAAAGGCUAAUUGGUUUUUAAU